UUUUUCUACUAGGGGUGCCAAAUAAUGGCUGAGACUUACUCUUAGAACCUGAUCUCGUUAGUACGAGCGGAGGGAAGUAGAUGGGAAAUGAA
This 92-nucleotide non-coding RNA is filed under the name Bacillus sp. (in: firmicutes). Its description in RNAcentral is "Bacillus sp. TPP sequence". It matches the Rfam family "TPP riboswitch aptamer (THI element)". From Rfam's summary of the family: Vitamin B(1) in its active form thiamin pyrophosphate (TPP) is an essential coenzyme that is synthesised by coupling of pyrimidine and thiazole moieties in bacteria. The previously detected thiamin-regulatory element, thi box was extended, resulting in a new, highly conserved RNA secondary structure, the THI element, which is widely distributed in eubacteria and also occurs in some archaea. Lineage: Bacteria; Bacillati; Bacillota; Bacilli; Caryophanales; Bacillaceae. The record is from RNAcentral.